GACGAACGCUGGCGGCGUGCUUAACACAUGCAAGUGGAGCGACGAACCGGGGCUUGCCCCCGGGGCAGAGCCGCGAACGGGUGAGUAACACGUGGGUAACCCACCCCGAUGAUUGGGACAACCCCGGGAAACCGGGGCUAAUACCAAAUGUGCCCUUGGUCCAUGAGGACCUCGAGUAAAGAUAGCUUCGGCCUUCGCAUCGGGACGGGCCCGCGGCCCAUUAGCUUGUUGGUGAGGUAACGGCUCACCAAGGCGACGAUGGGUAGCUGGUCUGAGAGGACGAUCAGCCACACUGGGACUGAGACACGGCCCAGACUCCUACGGGAGGCAGCAGUGGGGAAUAUUGCACAAUGGGCGAAAGCCUGAUGCAG
RNAcentral lists this ribosomal RNA (371 nucleotides) under uncultured bacterium. RNAcentral describes it as "bacterial SSU rRNA". It matches the Rfam family "Bacterial small subunit ribosomal RNA", at positions 28 to 391 of the family's 1533-position model. The record is from RNAcentral.